AUGUGGGUUUGGGUUUGGCUGGCUAUCAUUCCGUUUUAUUCUUCACAUUUUCCCUUUUUGCUGCUUCAUCUUCUGCCAUUAACCGUUAACUCCAGCUGUGGCUCAGCUGCGCGUCACACUAAACUCUCUGCUUUAUUCUGUCCAGACAGCUACACCUCCAACACUUGGGUGCUGUCUCUGGCUCCGUCUCCCGGCAGCCUCCUCGCCAACAGGACGGCUCAUCUGGCCUGCGUGGUCCUCGGAGUCUCCAACCUCGUCCAAAUCUCCUGGAAUAUUUCUGGGGAGCUGCAGGAGCUAAGGGUCCCAUGGACACUGAAAGCAAAGGACGGCUCCUUCGUGUUCAUAAAUCACAUCAGCGUCCCCCUGGACACCUGGGCCAGCGGGAAGAUUUUCACCUGUGACGUCAAAUUCAACUCCUCUGGCAGGAGCGUGAAGAGAAUUGCCAGGUACCCGGAAGUCCCUCCCAGCUGGUGUCUGCCACAGACGGUGUGCUACGCCGUGGCAGCUUUCCUGGUGGGGUUGAUGCUGUCUCUGAGCCUGGCCUGGAGAUACGGCUCUUCCAAUCCAGAGCUGUAACACAGCAGCUGCUCUGGAUGCAGCCAGGCCCGGUGCUUGGACCCGCUAUCGCCCUGCUCCCAUCACUCGUUCGCUUUAUCACACGGGGCAAACUUCUGCCUGAAUUCAGCAGGUUCAACUCCCAUGGGAAUCUGCGGGUGAUGAUACAAACCGUGAUGUAUGUGACCUGGUGACAAAGGCCUGGUGAGCCUUUGGUGGUUAGUGCACAGUGAAGCGGCGAGUGGUGAGAUAAAGAGGAUCUGGAUAGAAAUGAUCUGAAACGUGGUGUGAACAAAACCUUCAGUUUACACCAAUGAGCCCUUCUCUCGGACUUCGAAAUCAGUGAACUGAGGAGACAGAAUUCCCAAGGCCCUUGUGGUUCUGGAUUGAGUCUUUUAUUCAGCAAAAGAGAGAACGCUGCAGACUCAGAGGAGUGAACGGGAACGUUAAACACGGUCUCCCUCCUUUUCCAGGCCGAGGACUGAACUUUUAA
Non-coding RNA from Pelodiscus sinensis (Chinese soft-shelled turtle), 1048 nucleotides. The record is from the annotation of a RefSeq genome assembly. Lineage: Eukaryota; Metazoa; Chordata; Testudines; Trionychidae.